Molecule: ribosomal RNA, 207 nt
Filed under: uncultured bacterium
Lineage: Bacteria
Description: partial 16S ribosomal RNA
Rfam family: Bacterial small subunit ribosomal RNA
Source: RNAcentral
UGCGUAGGCGGUCAUCUAAGUAGGGUGUGAAAUCCCUCGGCUCAACCGGGGAACUGCGCUCUAAACUGGGUGGCUUGAGUGAGAUAGGGGUGUGCGGAACUUCCGGUGGAGCGGUGAAAUGUGUUGAUAUCGGAAGGAACACCAGUAGCGAAAGCGGCACACUGGGUCUUAACUGACGCUGAGGCACGAAAGCUAGGGUAGCGAACG